UCCAAUCCAACAUUUUAUUAAAAAAAACAGAGCAACAACAAUUAUGUUACCACAAUUCAUUCACUUACAAACAUUUAACCUUGAGAGAUCAUGCCCACCAGGGUGGUCAGACACAGAUACACUACUGAAGACUUCGCUCACAGACCUAGGGAGUGUUCAGUAAUGUCCAAAACAGAGAAAAUGUUGGCAAACUGAAAAGGUACCACUUGAGCUUUUCCAAAAGGGAAGCUCAAUUCAGUUAUUUUUCAAAACCUUGGCUCCCACUGACAUAAUGAACAGGACACAGAUCUCAUUCUGCUUGGUAAAUGAGAGUUCAACUCCACCCUAUCACAGCUGCCCCUUUGUAGUGUGCUCCUAGUACGAGCUAAUCAACUUCCAUAACAUCCAACAAUAUGAAAAAAUAAUCACGAUACAGAGAUCAUAUGAAGGCACAGCCAAAGCAGUGUAGUUGACCAAACGCCACUGCUUAUGGUUUUUUGGAAUGCAUACUAGGAAGAAUUCAUACAAAAUGGGAGAACAAAUAUUGAUAAUAAAUAUUGAGUCAGAAUAUUUAUUAUCUUUUGAAAUUACCAAGUGCCACGCUUCUCUCUCACGGCCAAGUGCAUUUUAAAUGUACUCUAAACUAAAACACAUCUCAUAGUAAAUUGGUAUUUAAUGGUAUGGAUAGAAGCUAUUCAGGAUUGAUCAUUUUUAGGAGGCAAUGGUUUACAGAUCUUCUACUUUACGGUUCAGGCUGUAAAUUGGACUAAGACAAUCUAUGAUUCAGCUGGUGCAAGCAAACUCAAUAGAACCAUUUUGCCCUUCAUAUUCACGUGUCACUCUACAACUCAUCUUUCCUAGAUAGUUGGCCCUGCCAACUUCAGAAUAAGAUUACAGAAUAGGUCUCGAUUGUGCUCUGAGUAGAUGUCAGCAUUACUAAAACACAGUCCUAAACUCACAUUGGGUAAAUUGACAUCUAGAAUAACAAUAACUCAGCACUGCGGACUGUAAAUUCAUCCAAAACAUGUCCUGGAAAGGGGUGGUCUUCACUUAAAGUUUAGCGUUACAGAUAAACAAUUCAAGUAAUUUCAGGUAUGACGAAAAAGGAAUCAAUUCAGUUAUAUCUUAUCACAUAGACUAUCAAAUCAACUUUAUCAGUCACAGGAUGUCAAUUAAAAAAAGGACUAAAAAACCUCUAAGAACGAUAGAAAUGUUUGUGAAUGUUACAACAAGAAGGGAUAGCCCUAACAACUUCAUAACGUACUAACAUACAGAAAACGCUAGUUUGAAGUUGCUUUGUUGUGCAAACACAGAAAUAGUAUAACAAUAACUACUUGACCACUUCUGCCCUCCAUUCACAAAACAUUUUAAAUGGUACUUGCACAUAGAAAGGGGGAUACCUCGUCAGUUGUACAAACUGAAUGUAUUCAACUGAAAUGUGUCUUCCGCAUUUAACCCAACCCCUCUAAGUCAGAGGUGCGGGCGGCUGCCUUAAAUCGACACCCACGUCAUCGACGCCCGGGGAACAGUGGGUUAACUGCCUUACUCAGGGGCAGAGCGACAGAUUUUUACCUUGUCAGCUCGGAGAUUCGAUCCAGCAACCUUUCGGGUUACUGGCCCAACACUCCAACCUGCCAGGCUACCUGCCGCCACUCAAAAGUUCCACAACAUAGUUCCAUUUGCUACAAAUGGUAAUGAAGUCAAUGGAAAUAUAGAUAUAUUCUCUCUUUUUGGUAAUAAAACUAUCAAAACAAAGCGAUGACAUCAUUUUCUAUAUGCUUUGAAUGAGAAGAGGUAUUUUUCAGUGGGGAUGAAUGAACAACAUUCCUUGCUCGUAUCGGACUGUAGCCAUAGGAUCCAAUGCAACAUUUGCCUGUAUGUCAUUGAUAACAAUGGUGUCAGAAUCCUAAUAGCGUGGCAUUCAGUCAGUAGUGUCACAACAUUGGCCCCACAAUAAAUAAAUACAAAUAUAUCUAUCUAUCUAUCUAUCUAUCU
This 1974-nucleotide long non-coding RNA is filed under the name Salmo salar (Atlantic salmon). Its description in RNAcentral is "lncRNA (ENSSSAG00000082963.1)". The record is from RNAcentral. Lineage: Eukaryota; Metazoa; Chordata; Actinopteri; Salmoniformes; Salmonidae.